RNAcentral lists this long non-coding RNA (675 nucleotides) under Panax ginseng (ginseng). Its description in RNAcentral is "long non-coding RNA (PGIN_LNC010145)". The record is from RNAcentral. Lineage: Eukaryota; Viridiplantae; Streptophyta; Magnoliopsida; Apiales; Araliaceae.
UUGUGAACGAGAACAUGCAUUUCUCAUUUUUCGAAGAUAAAACUGGCCCAAAUGCCUCCGCAAUGUUCUACAAUGUUGCACACGCAUUAGAUCCCAACAAAACCAUGUUCUUGAAUGAGUACAAUACGUUAGAGGAACCUUCAGACAAGAAAGUAACCCCGUCCAAGUAUCUGCAAAAAAUCCAGGAAAUUAGAUCUUUUCCGGGGAAUGAAGACAUGGUGGUAGGGAUUGGACUACAAGCUCAUUUUCGUAAGCCAGAUAUUCCUUAUAUGCGCGCCUGCUUAGAUAUCUUGGGUGCAAGCAAAAUGCCGGUGUGGAUUACAGAAUUGGAUGUCGAAAAAAUUCCAAAUCAAGUGAGUUUGAAUUCAUGAAAAAUUAAAUCUCAAUAUAUAGACUAGCUACUAACAAUCAACAAUAUUUAAUAUUAAUUUGGUUGGUUGGUUUGUGAUAGACUGUUUACCUCGAAGAAAUUAUGAGAGAAGCAUAUUCACAUCCUGCCGUUGAAUGAAUUAUUUUGUUUGGUGCGUGGAACCCGGAAGGCUGCUACCGUAUGUGUUUAACAGAUGAUGUGACGCCCCCAAAAUAGGUAUACAACACCCAUUCUGAGUCGCCAAAAUACAUGGUAUAGAAAACAAACUACAACUUUGACAAUACAGAUGUCGUGUAGAAUACGAC